AUGUUACAAAAUAACCUUAGGAGCUCAAAAAUUGCUAUCACAAUAAAAUUGUCAUGAACAAUCCGGUCCAUCAAUCAUACCAACAUAGGAACUAAGACCUCUUCGUUACUCAUUCGUAACUAGAACCAACAUAGAUCACGUAUAUCAAUAUAACCAACGACAUGGAUCAAGUAUAGGUAUGUAGCAUAGAAAUAACAUAAAGUAUGGUCAAUAUAAUGUCUAUUUCCAACUGGUUCUCUUUAUUGAGAUCAAUCAUAAACUGUAAGAGUACAAAAACUUUAAAAAUUGAAUAUCUGCAGAUAUAACCGAAUUACUGAAUUUCUGAAUAUAAUGAACAUACAUAAAUGUACAAUACAAAACUCCCACUAAAAUACAUAAUCCUUAUCUGAUUUGACACCC
This 399-nucleotide long non-coding RNA is filed under the name Nicotiana benthamiana. RNAcentral describes it as "long non-coding RNA (NBEN_LNC013074)". Lineage: Eukaryota; Viridiplantae; Streptophyta; Magnoliopsida; Solanales; Solanaceae. The record is from RNAcentral.